AUUGAACGCUGGCGGCAGGCCUAACACAUGCAAGUCGAGCGGAUGAAGGGAGCUUGCUCCUGGAUUCAGCGGCGGACGGGUGAGUAAUGCCUAGGAAUCUGCCUGGUAGUGGGGGAUAACGUCCGGAAACGGGCGCUAAUACCGCAUACGUCCUGAGGGAGAAAGUGGGGGAUCUUCGGACCUCACGCUAUCAGAUGAGCCUAGGUCGGAUUAGCUAGUUGGUGGGGUAAAGGCCUACCAAGGCGACGAUCCGUAACUGGUCUGAGAGGAUGAUCAGUCACACUGGAACUGAGACACGGUCCAGACUCCUACGGGAGGCAGCAGUGGGGAAUAUUGGACAAUGGGCGAAAGCCUGAUCCAGCCAUGCCGCGUGUGUGAAGAAGGUCUUCGGAUUGUAAAGCACUUUAAGUUGGGAGGAAGGGCAGUAAGUUAAUACCUUGCUGUUUUGACGUUACCAACAGAAUAAGCACCGGCUACUUCGUG
Molecule: ribosomal RNA, 483 nt
Filed under: uncultured bacterium
Lineage: Bacteria
Description: partial 16S ribosomal RNA
Rfam family: Bacterial small subunit ribosomal RNA
Source: RNAcentral